CAGCCUCCUCACUGCUGAUCAACCUGCUGGAGCUGACCUCUGUGGCCUUGGCUUCUUCUCACGACUCGACAUGCUGCUGGAAUCUGUUCUCAGGGUUUCCUGGAUCUGCCUCCUGCUCCUGGGCUCUGGAGCUGGCUACCCUUUCAUAAUUAAAGGUCAAACAGGUUCUGGAGGAGGCUCUGGAGGAUCUGGUGGCUCUGGAGGAGGAUCUGGAUC
This is a long non-coding RNA of Stegastes partitus (bicolor damselfish), 216 nucleotides long. RefSeq lists it as uncharacterized. The transcript has 3 exons. Lineage: Eukaryota; Metazoa; Chordata; Actinopteri; Pomacentridae. The record is from RefSeq and is a predicted model, not a curated record.